GAGGGUGAAGCUCAGUGUAAGAGCAUAUGCUUAGUGUGCACGAGGGCCUGGGUUCGAUCCCCAGCCCCA
This 69-nucleotide transfer RNA is filed under the name Marmota monax (woodchuck). RNAcentral's name for it is "tRNA.Thr". It matches the Rfam family "tRNA". From Rfam's summary of the family: Transfer RNA (tRNA) molecules are approximately 80 nucleotides in length. The record is from RNAcentral. Lineage: Eukaryota; Metazoa; Chordata; Mammalia; Rodentia; Sciuridae.